This 483-nucleotide ribosomal RNA is filed under the name uncultured bacterium. RNAcentral describes it as "partial 16S ribosomal RNA". It matches the Rfam family "Bacterial small subunit ribosomal RNA", at positions 30 to 506 of the family's 1533-position model. The record is from RNAcentral.
AUUGAACGCUGGCGGCAGGCCUAACACAUGCAAGUCGAGCGGAUGAAGGGAGCUUGCUCCUGGAUUCAGCGGCGGACGGGUGAGUAAUGCCUAGGAAUCUGCCUGGUAGUGGGGGAUAACGUCCGGAAACGGGCGCUAAUACCGCAUACGUCCUGAGGGAGAAAGUGGGGGAUCUUCGGACCUCACGCUAUCAGAUGAGCCUAGGUCGGAUUAGCGAGUUGGUGGGGUAAAGGCCUACCAAGGCGACGAUCCGUAACUGGUCUGAGGGGAUGAGCAGUCACACUGGAACUGAGACACGGUCCAGACUCUGAGGGGAGGCAGAAGUGGGGAAUAUUGGAAAAUGGGCGAAAGCCUGAUCAAGCCAUGCCGCGUGUGUGAAGAAGGUCUUCGGAUUGUAAAGCACUUUAAGUGGGGAGAAAGGGCAGUAAGUUAAAACCUGGCUGUUUUGACGUAACCAACAGAAUAAGCACCGGUAAACUUCGU